Long non-coding RNA from Columba livia (rock pigeon), 12754 nucleotides. RefSeq lists it as uncharacterized. The transcript has 5 exons. The record is from RefSeq and is a predicted model, not a curated record. NCBI's taxonomy places the organism in Eukaryota, Metazoa, Chordata, Aves, Columbiformes, Columbidae.
GCUGCAUUGGGGCGGGUAGGGCUGUGCUGAUGCAGAGCAGAGGUGGGCAGAUGCAAAAAGUGGUCCAGCCAGCUGGCUUUGCAGGGUGCCCUUGACCCCGCCCGUGGUUAUGCAUCAUGCGUUCUUCAUGGUUUUGGACUUUUCUCUUGAUCUCAAACAGGAGUCUCAAUUUCAGAGGUCAUCUUAUCUCAUAAGGACUCUUGCAAGCCAGGUAUGCCAGGAUUCUGAACCUGGACCUUCCCAGCACAAUCCCAUUCCCCUCAGUGGAAGCCAUCUGAGGUGCUGAGGCAGAGCAAUGCGACCAGAAUCUUAUCCUCAGAGCUUUCGUCUGUAGACCAGGAGUGAUGGAGUGAGUGUGAAAGUUAAAGCCUGCUUGCCAUUUCCCUUCAACAUCUCUUCCAGGAUGACCUUUUCUGGAUUAGAUGCACCAGCCAGCAAGCUGGCCAGUCAGUCCCAGCAGAGGAUCGCUAACUAACUGGGAUUUCUCCUCCAGCCAAGAAGAGCCAUCAUUACUCAUCAUCUUGAUUGCACAUAGGGAAAUAGAAAGCAGGUGGCAGCAACGAAGGCAAAUUAUUCCUCCACCUGUACAAGACUUCUGCUGUUGCUUAAAUACCGAAGAUGACUGCACAGUCACAUCAGAAAUCUUGUAGACACACUCUUGCAUAAAUAUGAUUUGAAGACGAGUAUCAAGAUAAACACCAUUGCAGAAGUUGUGUCUGAGUCUCCUUCAGGAGCAUCUUGCAAGAUAAAUCAGAGGUUUGCUGGAAGACACCGACAACACGCUGCUCAGGGAACUCAUCACAUGGACAGAGGAGACACCCUUCCAGUUCUGACUCACAGGGCUCUGCCAGGGUUGCCCACCAUCCUUUUGUGAGGAACAGGGCUGGCACACGAGCAGGAGUUGCCAUACCAACAUGCUUCUCACUGGGCUGGUGGUGGGGCUGGCCCAUGUGCAGCCACAGUCCUGUUCUACCACCAUGCUGGUGUCCUCAUCAGGGCAAAAGUAUGAGAGGGGUGCAGUUCCAGCUCCCCUCCCCAGAGAGCAAGUGGAUUCACAUUAAAACCAGUUUUCACACUGAACUGGAGCCCAAAUGUAGGCACAGAUGGUGCCUCGAUGAGAAGCAUCCACAGCAGGUCAUGUUGGUUGAAGGGUGUGUGUGGAGGGAAAUGAGCACAGCCGCUUGGACAAGUUACGCCUGUAUAGUAAGUGACGUGUUGUACGGGACAGCCUGCAAACUCCUUUGUGUGGUUGUGCCUCUUCCCGGCAGCUAUUGCCCUUGUAAAAGAAACAACCUUUACGGCAAACACUGGAACCAGGCAACGCAGACAAACCACCGCAAGUUCCUGCAGGACCAGUGGGUAGCCGUCCGAAGACAUGAGGCCGGUGUGCCCAAGCCCAGCUUCCUCCUGUCUUUUCUUACAGCAUAGACACUCUGAAUUACAUUUUGCCUUGCUAAUUGAACAUUUUAGUAUCAUAUGCUUACAUCAGCUGUAUGUAAAUGAAAAAGGCCUUAAUGUGUUUGUUAAUGAAAAAGUUACAAUGGAAUAUUAAAGAAGAGUUUAUUUAACUUAGUUUAAUUUAAAGGCCACUUAGCACACUGAGCAUUAAUGAUCUACAGUAAAUGUAUUUCUUCAAAGGAUUUCUCCAUUAUUGGUUAUUCUUAGACAAGAGUCUACAUUGCAUAUAUAGGAUUUAGCUAAAUUGCUGCACUGGGUAACACAGUGUGAUAAAUGGACCUUAAUUCAUGCUAAAUUACAAAGAGAUUCCUUCAGAGGAAUUAUUACAUCCCUCUGAAUAUAAAAGACACUCUCUGUAUCUGAGGGUUUCCUGAGAAGCCAGGCAUUUCUGUGUGUAAUACCAAAUUGUAGAUGUAUUCAUUAUAAUAACAUUAAUCAUGAUGACUCCAUUUGUCAGUUCCACUCUAAUUAAGCAAUGCUGUCAUAAUGGACCAUUAUUUUUAAGUGUUAUCAGGGGCUGUUUACAAUGGGUUUAAUAGAGUUAGGAACUGACUGAGCAGUCUCUUAUCAGGUGUCUUUCCCAGUGCUGUGAGGUGGCAGAGCCUCAACAGGGGCACGGCGCGGACAGGGUGGCUGCGGCGUCGCUCUCAGCCUGACCCAGAUGCAUGUCCAGCCAAGGGGCUGGCAGGGUGCCGCUGACCCCAGCUGACCGAGGGCACACCCUGCAUCGUAAGAUGUUUUGCUCAGCAAUAAAAGCUCAGGGAAAGGAGGCAGAAAGGAGGGGACAUUAGGGUUAUGGUGCUGGUCUUCCCAAACACAGCUAUGCAUGCUGAGGCUCUGCUUUCCAGGAGUGGCUGGACACCUGCCCGCUGAUGGGAAGCAGGACAUAAACUUCUGUGCACAGUUCUGCUUCUCUUAUCAAACUGUCAUCACCUCAAACCAGGAGUUUUUCUCCCUUUUCCAGUUCUGGUUCUCUCUUCCAUCCUGCUGCAGGAGUGGUGGGUGACCAGGUGGUGGGAGUGUCAGCCCAUCACCCCCAGGCACAGAACCUGGGGUUCUGGCCAAAGAGGAGGCUCACAUGUGUGAAUCCUCUUGGAUAGUACCGGAAUCCAACUGGUCUGUACCCAACUUCUGGUUCCCCUUCACUAGCCUGCUCCUGGCUUAGCUCCGUGGAGGGUGAUUCUUGGAGCAGCUACUCUCCUGCUGCUGAGUGUUGGCAAAACUGUCUUUUGGCCCCACUCAGCUUUCUGGUAUCUUCUUCAAACUAAAGUCCUGUUGACUCAAACAGAGGUAUUUUCUGAUGUUUUACUUUCAAGGGCCUCAUUCUCUUAUCAUGUUCUAACCCUGUGGACCCCCUACAAACGUCCCAAGGGAAAUGAUCUUCAUCUUCCCUCAACCCCAUGUCACCCAGUGGAGGAUUUCUCUUUUGUUUGAAGGUAUUCAGACCCAGAUGGUGGAGGUAAGGGACGUGGUGGGUUCUCCAUGCACUGGUGUUGUCCUGCGGUGUGUGACAGUGGGAUGGUGUGGCCCUGUGAGAAGGGAAGGGUCCACUCUAAAAAUCCUGUGUGGUCCUACACUGACAAAGCCUUGGGGCUGGAAACAUUGGGCAAAUGGCCCACGUUUGAAGACCUUUCCAAGAAACUAGUCCUAAAAGUAAAGUUUUCCCUAAGACCUUUCACAGAGCACUUGCCUUUCCAGAGCAGUUUCGCCAGUUUGGUUGCACACACAAGUGAAUUUAUGCAGCAUGAUGCAGAAUUUCAUACCUGUUGGAAGAAGUUCUCUGGUUAAUCCAUUUCUUCAUGCUCUUUUGAAGCUUCUGCGAAACAUGUCCCAAUGCUAAUUAGUGCUUCUAGCCUUCAUUUGAGUUUGAUGUCACUGCAGCCUGCCAAACUUACCUAUUUUGCCACAGGUGGGACAGUUUCUUGUGCGUACAUUGGCAAGCUUUGGCUCUGCAGUUUUGGCUACACAUUUUAAAUACCUGGCACUCAGUUUCAAGUGUGGACAUGGCAUCCUGUUUCAAAUGUGCUCAAAGCCUUCUGUCCACCACAGCCUUUGGAGGGGUCAAUGAGUGAGGACCUUCACAUUCGCAGGCAGAGAGAAGUCCAUGCAGCUGGAUAGGUGCUGGCGCAUGUUCUCUGAUCCACCGUUCGGCCAUGGUCAGUAGUUCCACCAUUUCAGAAACACUGCCUGAAAGGAACCUUCCUAAUGGCUCUGAGACAGUACCUACACAGACAAGGAAUUUUCUUUUCUUCGUAGGGCAUUUCAAGUCUUUGGGUUGUUUUACUGAGUGGCUAAGGAUGAAAAUAGGUCAUCAUAUCCUGAGACAGCAGCCACAAGCUCUCACCAGCUGUCUGUGACAUUAUUUCCAGAUGUUCCUGCUCAUAGCUAUCAUGGCCCACUGCAGGACUCCUGGCAAAGGGGCUGUCACUUUAGUCUCUCUGUACCAGCUCCUGUGUAACCACCAUCUCUGCCCCUGACUUUCCUGUCUGGACUGCGUAUUGCCCUUGUCUGAAAAAUCUAUUACAAUACAGAGAUGUUCCUUUGUUUAACCAAGGGUCUUCAUUUCCUAUUCAUUAAAAGUUUAAAUGACAAUUCCUGGGCAUCUUAAACAAUAAGCAUUUGUACAGGCGCUUCAGAUAAAACCAUAUUUGCAUCCUUGAAGGGCAUUCUCACUGAACGGAGCAGUAUGGGGCCUCACACCUGGAGAGACAGGAAGACCCUGCGCCUCUCACCGUGGUUUUGUCAGAUCUAAUCCCACUGUUCUGCUGCCAGCAGGCUGACGUGGCAUUUCACAUCCAAACGUGGGAGGGCUUAAUGAGGAACGGGCACUGCCUGCCCGCUGCGGGACAGACAGUUUGCACCUCUCUUAACCUAGCACGGCUGAAAGACAGUAGAAGUACAAAAAGUAUAAAAAGCAGAGUCAGGAAUGGCAAUCCCUGCCACAAGCACCUCACUGCAAGCAGUGGACAGUCACAACAUAGCUACUGCUGUCACCAGCCAACAGUUCUGCAAUGUCCCUUUGCUGCAUCACUGUGAAUCUCCCCAAAGGCUGCCCGGGCAUAGACACUGGCUCUGGGAGGAAAGGUGGUUGGGUUGAUCCACCAUCUACUCCCCUCACGAAGUGCCAGGAUCUGCAUCUCAUCAUACUCUGCUGUGGGACAAUGGAUGGGUGCGGUCUCUGAACACAAGGCCUCUUCUGAGGUCUUGCUGCCUGGGAGGUGAGCCGUCCAUCUAGAUGCAGAGGGAUCUGAAGGGCUGGGGGCUUUCCUUGCUCCCCAGGAGGCACCAUCACCAGCAGAUGUCGCUUAUGAGAAGUUGAUUCUUCCGGUGCUCAGGGGGUAGCACGGGGGAUUCCUGCUCCUUCUAGUGACCUGGGGUUGUUCAGGGCACCCAUGUCUUGCGAAGUGCCAGAGGACAGCAAAUGCAAUGAGGUGGGCAGUGGGGCUGGGAGGUAUCACCUCAGUCCCCACAGGGCAGGGGACUUCAAGGGCUGUUCCCAAAAACCCAGAGAGCUGUGAGGUGAGCAUGGUGCAUGGAGAACAGCUGGUGAUCAAAGGCAGGAGAGGGCUUUGGGGCAGAGGGGGACACCCUGAGUCAAACGGGAUGUGCAGCCUGGCUGGACGAGGGCUGAUGGAUGAAUAAUUACAGAAACCUGAUUUCUGAGCACUUGUUCUUCUUAAAUCCACCCUGUGACACUGCCUGCUAAAGUGUGAGAACACCUGCUGCACUCUGAAGUACUAGUGCAUGAAAGUGUCCUCGCCUUGUAUCAUGGAGCAGAGAGCACCAGCUUCUCCUGGAAGUGGAACCUGCUGGCGAUCAAGUAAAUACUGGGUGUAAGCUGCUGUUUGACUAAAGUCUGCCUCUUUUGGCCUGUUGUCUGUGAUCAGACUCUGAUUUGCUUUAUUUACAAAUAUUUGCUGAAUUGUGGAAGGCUUCAUGAGCUGUGUUUCUCAAGCUUAAGACAGAAAUAUAUAGUGUUGGGACAAGGAACUAAAGAGACAUUGCACGCAUUCUCCUGAGCUCCCCGAGGACUUUACCUAUCACAAGUGAAGUUAAUGUUUAGUACGAGGAGUACAUCACUGUGGUAGAUUGACCACGGCCAGCAGCUCAGCAUCCACCCAGUCACUCACUUACUCUCCCCACAAAGUAGGAUGGGGGAGAGAAUAGGAAGAGCAAUAGUGAGAAAACUCAUGGGUUGAGACAAGAACAGUUUACUAAGUGAAGGAAAGGGGAAAACAAAACUAAAACCAUGUGAUGCAAAGGCAGUCACUCACUAUCUCCCACAAGCAGGUGGUGAUGCCCGGCCAGUCCUUUAGCUGUUCUGGAAAACCUCGCUCCUGCUGGAGCACAGCACUUUACCAGUGGCUAUGAAGAACAUUAACUCCAUCUGGGCUGCAUUCCCAGUACUGCUGCUUCACAAACCCAAUACUUGGGUGUUUGAGGUGCUGUGACAGCAUCAACCAGCAUAAGCAGGACAUGAGUGAUGAUGGUCCAAGUAAGUUUCUCACAGCUCAAGGCUACAGAGAGGUUUCCCUCCAGUCACGCAGUCCAGAUAGCAGUCCCAAGUGCACACACGCACUCUGCAGGGGCACAGAGAUGCUGCCAUAAGAUGUCAGGUGGAGCCAAAGGUGAGGCUGCAGAAGCAUCAGCAGUACCACAAAUAAACCCCUACUUAUGCCUGUACGUCCAAAUUGAGAUGCAUUUUUAUGAUACUCAUUGAGAAAAACAAUUCAUCAGUCAUUAGCUAUAUCACUUUUUAAUAAGAGUUAUUUUAGGGCAGUAGCAGUUAUCAAAAUGAAUCCCAGAGCCAGUGCCACUCACCCGUGGAUACAUGCAUCUCAGGACACAGUGGGACAGGGUCCAGGACUGGGGAAGGACAUCCCGCCAUCGCUCGCCAUGGCUCAGCGCUCCCUGCCAGCCGCAGCCCCUGCUCUGCAGGUGGACAGCAGGAACAGGCAGAAAUUCUGGCUCCUCCCAUCUGUCUCAUGGUGGACAUGUGAUUUUUGCGUGGACCAAGGAGGCAGCUGGGGUGAAAACCCCCAUGCCCGGGAGUCCCCUUCCAGCCUGCCCGUGCAGCCAGGGACACGUCUCCCGUGGUGCAGGGUUGGGUGACCAGGCAGGACAUCAGAGACCUGCCCUGGCGCAGGGGAAGCCCCAGCAGAGCCACUGCGGUCUGCAGAGACCAGAGCUGCCCUUCAGCACAGCUCUUCAGCUGCUCUUCCAGUGCCCAGCAAACUGCUCCAGUUUGUGUCCGAGCUGGCCUGGAGAUCACCUCUGCCCCAUCAGGACGCCAACCCGCCGGCAGGAUUGAGGACACCAGAGCACCUGGAUGUCCACCACGGACGCAGACCUGACAGUUUGCAUGGUCUGAUGGCGCGGCCGGCUGGCAAGGUGGAUUCAGUAAGCGCCGGGCUGCCGUGCCUGGCCCUGCGUGAUGAUGUCUUUUCUUCAUGGCCCCUAAAAUGCCAUUUCAAAUGCAACCAGCUGGCAUUUUUUGCAAGGGAUCCAGGACACAAGGUGAAAACAAGAGUGAAAGCAGGCUUUUGAACUUAAAAAAAUUACUUUUAUUUUAGGAACCAAUAAAAUUAUGGUAAGUAUUUACAAAUAAUUAUCUCACAUAAAGGUUACAUAAAACCAAAUGUCCACAAGUAACAGUCACUCUCAUGAAAAGACACACAGAUAUUGAACUACGCCAGUCUUAUUGCAUGUUUCUUCAACUAAUCUAAAAAUAAAGUGUUGCAGUCAACCAUUUAACUUAGAAUAAAAUCACAAAUUUCAGUAUCGACAAGAAAAAGAAUCGAAAAGAAACCCAAAUAAAUGAAAAAAACCCCUUCAAACGGCCCCUCCCUUUUGACCCAUGCCUUAGCACCCCCGCCCCGUCCACCUCCCCCUUUACUCCCCCAAACAAAUCCCAGAACAAAAUCCCCAAAAUAAUGUUCGACAUCUUUGGCAAAUUGGCACUGCUGUAAUUACAUUCAAAUAUUAUAACACACAAAAGCAACACACAGCACUAAGGAAAAAACACCAAGAUUUCAAGUCUGUUCUUUUCCUACUAGAAAAAAAGAAUACAAAACAUACACAUUUUAAGAAGCGUUUUUCAUCUGUUUUGCAACAGAUGUUAUCCCCUACUUUCAAAGGCAAUUCAACAGUUAUUUUUAUGAGUUUUUUUGUAAGCUUUUUGUUUGUUUGUUUGUAUGUAUUUUCCAGGGGGAGGAGGCUUUUAUUUCUCUCCCUCUUCUAUUUUUCCUCUCAUUUUUAAGAAGUAAGCUUCAAUGCAGGCAUUGCAGACUUUGGUGGAUACAGUAGAUAUGUAUUUCUUUGAUGCUAGAAGUCCCUAAUACAAAGUAGUUUGUCUCUAAGAAAAAAAAAAAAAAAAAAAAGCCUGUUCUCUUUUUUUUUUUUCUUGGAAAGGAAUUCCGUUUGCAAUGAAAUGAGUUUCUGUAAUUUCAGAAUGUACAAAGGCCACUAGAAAGUGAAAAACCAGGACAAGGUUUCUCCCCAUGCGAGGCUGAGCAAAGUGAGAGGCAGGUCUGGGUGCCCCCGGCACCGUCCCUCCUCAGGCAGGGCAGAGCAGCAGACCCUGGACACAAAGUCCAGCGGGGUGGUGGCCAAGGGUCCUGCAGGACUCAGGGCCAUCCCUCUGUGAGUCCCCCUGCCUAUCGAACACUCAAGCGUGCAGGGAGGUCCCUGCAGCGCUGCGGCGUGUCCUGCAAAUGCUCCUGCGCUGGAGCCCCCUCACAGGACACACCAGUGGAGGUGACAGCUGGAGACACCUGCGCCAGCCACCACACCGCAGUGAGCAGUCCUGGCACCAGGCACCUCUCGGACAUGUGUGUCCCCCAGUGUUUGCACGUCUAGUCUUUUAGCUCCACCAGAAAAGUGACACUAACUGGUUUUGAUGCUUUCAGACCUUUUCGUUUCUUAUGCUGUAGUAACAUGUACCUGUGACAGAGCGGGUUCUAGUCUGAGGACACAACGGGGCUCUCACUGGUGUCCCCACCUCAUGCCACCACCAAGUGCUCUGCCUCUGCCGUGGAGUGGUGGUGGCUGCCACUCGGGAUGCGUGCCCAGCACCCACAUUGGCUCUGCCUGCUUGUGCUCCACAGGGCUAUGGCCUGGGCACUCAGCAAGAGGCCACAGGGCACGUCACUCAAGAGCUGGUGGCCCUCUAACAUCAUUUUCUCAGUGAAUGCAGAAGAAAAAGUAGGUUUUCCCAGUAUUUGCUGGAAAGGAGUCACAGCGUGGGUCAGCUUAAUGCUGUGCUGGCUGUGCUGUCCAUGGCUGCACGUGUGGUGGUGGCACAGACAUGGGUGCACAGACAUGGGUGCACACAUGCGGGACAGAGCACAGCACCAGGAGGACACUCAGUGGCAGUCGUGUUGCUGCUGGCUGCAGCCGCGCGGAUUAACUCCGCUGAGGGUCAUGGCUCGUUGAAGCUCUGGGUACUCAUGGUUGGAAAUAAGCGACACCGUAACAUGGCUUACUCUCUCCUUCAUGGUGAAGGACAUGCAGAAUAGGUAAAAUAAAGAAAAUAAGAAAAGCAAUACAACUCCAUCAGUUACGAUCGAGCACAUCAGAGUGUUUAUGAACUGCCAGUGGCUGCUGGUGUGGGCAGAGUGGGGCCAGAGCGCUGCCUGGCACUGCAGCCCCACAGGGAGCCCGGAGCGGCACAGGCACCUGCUGCAGUGUCCCGGCACCCACUGCAGUGAGCUCCACUGGCCAUGCCUCCCUGCUCAGGCAGACUUUCUGCCAAAAACCGCCUUUCAGCUGGCUUCUUUUUCCUGUUUUUCCUCUUUUCUUUCUCUGGUGCUGUUUCUUUCCUCACUGUCUCCUCUCAAAGUGCCUCAAGUGCUGAGGCUGCCUGCGGUCCCGGCAUCCGUCAGGGCACUGCUCAGGCCUCUCUGCGUCUCGGCAUCAACAGGCACUCUGGCCCUGUGCUCCCAGAACCUGGAGCAUUUUUCUGACUUGACAGGAAACAAAUGAAGCUUUUGCUCUGCGGAUCUGGUUCCAGGACAUCCUUAGCCAUAGAGGCUAAGCAAACUCAAUGCAUUUUACAUCUUCUUUAUGAUUACACUCUCGCAGCUUGACUGAGGGUUUCCCCAACAGGUCAGUCCAUGUAAUCCUGGCUCAUGGCUACAUUGAUUUAGUCUUGCAGGAGCGUUUUCUCUCUUGAUCACUCAUAUUUCAUUUCUCAGCCUGUACUUGAAGAAUUUAUUGCUGGAGCACAUACUACUGGAAAACCCUCCAUCCAGCCGAGCGUAUGAUAGAUCCCUGCGCUGAUCUGGCUCUUUCUCCUCUUUGCAGCCCCACGGGGUCAUUUGCUUCCAGCUUCCACCUCACCCAGGGAUGUCCUGGCGAAACGGGACAGUUAGUGGCGACCAUCGCUGCUGAGCAGGGGCCGCGGAGGAGCGGGCAGCAGCAGCAAACUCUCCAUCAUCCCCAGAGGACAAACGUCUGCCAGCGGCACCUGUCAAAGGUGCUCCCUGAGGAGGAGGAUUCCCUCGGUGAAGACUAUGGACAAAAAGUCCAGACCUCCUGAGGAAAGCAGUUUGUAAAUUCUAGGUGAAAUAUUCUCAAAACCAGUAAGUAUGUCAGGAGGAGUCUGUACAGCAUCCAUACUCAGUGGCCUACCCUUAAUGGCUUUUCUGUUAGGGAAGCAGUCCCAGUAGAUAUAAGCAAGCCCAGCGGCCCUGCUUUGGGAUGUGGGCUGGAUGCAUCCAGUUUGCGUGUGGAAGGGUGAGUGUCGGGGGUUUCAUCUCUGCAGCUCCAGCCAGGAUCUUUCACUGCCCAUGCGCCUGCGCUGUCACUGCCUGCGCUGCCGGGUGGUGGCAUGGAGCACACCACCACGCCUGCAAGUGGCUCUGCCCAAGGGCCACGCUCAGGGCAUGCUGAUGAAAACCAUAGGGCCAGCCAGGUCCAAGAACCUCAGGUCACUUCAUCCAGCACCAUACAUGUAUCUUUCAGGGGAAAUAUACCACUGUGCCUUUCCUCAGUCCCCAGCCCAACUGCAGGUGCAGCUGGCUGGAGCAUGCCAACCUCUGCUGAGGUACCAUGUUUGGUCUUCUCAAUGUUAUCUGAAUUAGCACACAACACAGAAGCCAUGCCACCAAGGAAGCAAAUAAAAUAAAUAUGUUUGCAGGGCAGUAUGAAAGGUAGGUGGAAGACCCACAGGCCAUCAACAGGAGAUGCUGUUCCCUUGCUGGACAGACAGACAGAUUCAUUUUAGGCCAGCUUGGUCACCGAGCGGGUGGUGUCUCCAUAGGUGGUGUAGCUCAGCCCAGCUCUGCUCCAGAGCCAUCACCCACACCCUCACUGCCGAUGGUCAAACCCUCAUUUCUUUCCUCUUCAGCCGAGUCGCAGACAACCUCGUCCUUCCCUGAGCUCACAGAGAAGGUGUGUGCUCAGGGAGCAGACAACACACACACCCGGGCCCAGGGCAGGUGUGAAGAGUCCCCACACAGCCAGCGUCCAGGCACAGAAACACCCUCUGCAGCUUUGUCACCAGGGUGUGAGUGAUCACAGGGUGCUCAGAAGGAGACGACACCAAGGUAAUGCUUCAGAAAGUUUCCUGUGUAAAUUGUCCAUGCUGGCUUUUUCUUCCAUUAAAAAUGUGUCUGUAUAAGCUAUUAGUUUCUGAAAGAUGAAAAGCAGGACUUUUCUCACUGGUAAGUUUGUCACAAAACUUACUUCUAGGUUAGGGACACAGUUUGGAAGGACUUUGGCCAAGAUUCCCGACAGACCCUGUAAACAUCUCACUGAAACAUUGCUAAGCCAGUGGGAUGUGGGUGCCUUCACGGCUUUUAAGAAUCUGAACACACUGUCCUGGAAACCUGGAAGUGAUGGCUGCCUUUCCACACUGUGAGAAGAUGCCACUGGAGUUGGAGAGAGAGCUUCUGAACGGGUCAGCGGCCAUGAAGGGCGCCAGACACGCAGUACAAGCGAUGAGGUGGGGAGGGAGGAGGAGCAGGAGGAGUGUUAACUCAGGAGCUGCCAUUCCACAGAAAUGCUUGUACAGCUGGAAACAAGUGCUUGUACUUGAUUGUUCAUCCAUGGGAAUGCAUCUCAGGUUCAACACCAGCAAACCUUCUCCAGUCUUGGGACACACACAGGCACCAGCAGCACCCCUCUGCAGUGUCUGUGCUACACCAGGCUGGUGCAGAUCAUCGGGCUGGGAGUAACGAGGCCAUGGCCAGGUCUUCUUCUCAGCAGGGUCAGGCAGUAUUUCUGGUGCCCUCAGGACGAGGGAACAGGGUCAGGUCUGUCACCAAGGCAUGACUGAGGUUGGCUGCCCCUCAGCCUGGGACAUGAGGGGUUUGCAGGGUAAAUCAGCAGAUCUUGCUUCCAUGAAGGGGAAGUGGCUGCUGUAGCCAUUUCAUAGGUUGUUUGUAGCCACUCUUCUCUCUUCAUUGGCCUCAGGAAGCCACACACUGAUUAUUAGAGCAGGAGCCAGAAAUACAGAAUUCAUGAGGCAAAAUAACUCCUGGCACACAUCUGGACUAUGGCAGCUUUAAUUUGAAAUGCCUUUACUGAAAUCCAGAGCCCUCUAAAAUAGACAGCCUCCCCUCCAUUUUGCAUCAGAAAGUGCGUGUGGCCACCGCCACGCCCAGCACGUCGCGCUCAACGUGCCUGUUUCACAAAGUAAUCACCAUGGUAUCUCUCCCCAUUCCUCUCAUGGUGCUCAUAGUUGGGUUUUAGCACACAGCCUGUUGAGAUGUACAUAAGGUGUCAUUAUUUAAGAAUUCCUUCUUGGAUGCUGCUUGACUUUAAACUAGAGAAUUUGUUUCAGUGCUCAUCAUGAUGAAAAAUGAACAUAAUAUUAAGCAAUAAAAUGUCACAAAACUGCCCACUUCUUCAGUUGCCUAUGUGUUUGAUACCAGCAUAUAACAUGAUCACACACAACCAUCAGAUAGGAGGCUCUAUACAGAAAUAACGUCAGUCCGAAAUAUAAUCACAAUGAGUGUUAACCUGGUUCAAAGUUGCUUAAAGCUUACUGAAUUCUUUGAAUCAGUGCACCAGUUUCAAAACACAUUUUCAGAUGUGUUUUGAGUUCACAUUUGUACAACGUUGCUGCUUAUGUUUAAGUCAUUCUUAUAGUAAUAAAAACAAGCAAGUAUUUACAGUGGUGCUUGUGUAAAAUUGAGCAGACUGAUUUUUUUUUCCUUUGUCACAAAAAAAAAAAAAAAGGAAAGAGGAAAGGAAGAAAGAAAGAAAGAAAGAAAAAAAGAAAGAAAGAAAGAAAGAAAGAAAGAAAGAAAGAAAGAAAGAAAGAAAGAAUGAAGGAAAAGAAGGAAAAUUG